AAACAGGGAAAAUCUACAUACGCCAUUGCCAACAAACCGGCUGCAUAUUUUGUGUGGGAGGACACUGCCUCCAAAAUGAGUCAGCAUAACAAGAGGAGAAAUGAGGGCAUGGAGAGUGAUCAGUGGAUGAAGACUGAUUCUCCUGAAAUCAAUCCUGGAACCUCUGAGCCCAGUUUUAGCAGGACAAAGAAACUCCGGACAAACUCUCCAGAACCCAGUGGUGUGUCUAUGAAAAGUAACAACUCCAUUGUGCAGCCCCUGUUUUCAACGAACCAAGCACCUCUGACCCUCCAUCUGAGCAGUCCACUACAUCUCACUACCCAACACACAUUAAUCAGGACAAAACUAAACUAGUCUUGCAGACAUAUGCACUGCAGACCAGCAAAGACCAACACAAAACCAGCAUGAGAAACAAGUAUAGGAACUUGUUUGAGGAACCAACUCAAACAAGACCCUCCUGAACAAGAUCUACACACAACUGUACAUUGUAAAGGGAGAGUGAAGGAGUGAAUGAAGAGCAUGAGAUUUUACAGAUGGAGAAAACAGCCAGAACAAAACACUCACAAGAUACUCCAAUAUACUACAAUGAGAUCUUAAAAUCUUCACCUAAACCAGGAUCUGAGGAGAAAGACCAGAUCAAGACUGUUCUUACUAAAGGCAUCGCUGGAAUUGGAAAAACCGUCUCUGUGCAGAAGUUCAUUCUGGACUGGGCUGAGGAAAAGCCAAUCAAGAUGUAGAUUUCAUUUUUGUUCUUCCAUUUCGAGAGCUGAACUUGAUCCAAGAUCAUCAGUACAGUCUUCACAGACUUCUGCUGGACUUUCAUCCUGAACUUGAAGAUCUGGACUCAAAGAUUUAUGAGGAGUGUAAAGUUGUGUUCAUCUUGGGCGGUCUGGAUGAAAGCAGAAUCCACUGAUGUUUUCAGAUGAUCAGAAAGUUUGUGAUGUGACUGAGACUUCAUCAGUCAGUGUGUUGAUGACAAACCUAAUGAAAGGAGAGCUGCUUCCCUCUGCUCUCAUCUGGAUCACCUCCAGACCAGCAGCAGCCAAUC
Molecule: long non-coding RNA, 1048 nt
Organism: Puntigrus tetrazona (Sumatra barb)
Lineage: Eukaryota; Metazoa; Chordata; Actinopteri; Cypriniformes; Cyprinidae
Exons: 4
Source: RefSeq, a predicted model, not a curated record